GUCAAUGGCCAUACCACCCCGAAUAUGCCUGAUCUCAGAACCUAAGCAGGGUUGGGCAAAGUUGUGGGUGUUCAAGAUACGUGCCAUUUAGG
Molecule: ribosomal RNA, 92 nt
Filed under: Saimiri boliviensis boliviensis (Bolivian squirrel monkey)
Lineage: Eukaryota; Metazoa; Chordata; Mammalia; Primates; Cebidae
Source: RNAcentral